GAUGAAGAACGCAGCAAAAUGCGAUAAGUAAUGUGAAUUGCAGAAUUCAGUGAAUCAUCGAAUCUUUGAACGCACAUUGCGCCCGCUGGUAUUCCGGCGGGCAUGCCUGUUCGAGCGUCAUUUCAACCCUCAAGCCCCCGGGUUUGGUGUUGGGGAUCGGCUCUGCCUUCUGGCGGUGCCGCCCCCGAAAUACAUUGGCGGUCUCGCUGCAGCCUCCAUUGCGUAGUAGCUAACACCUCGCAACUGGAACGCGGCGCGGCCAUGCCGUAAAACCCCAACUUCUGAAUGUUGACCUCGGAUCAGGUAGGAAUACCCGCUGAACUUAAGCAUAUCAUAAGCGGAGGA
Molecule: unclassified non-coding RNA, 345 nt
Filed under: soil metagenome
Description: partial contains 5.8S ribosomal RNA, internal transcribed spacer 2, and large subunit ribosomal RNA
Rfam family: 5.8S ribosomal RNA (bases 1-120)
Source: RNAcentral